GACGAACGCUGGCGGCGUGCCUAAUACAUGCAAGUCGAGCGGAACUUAGAAAGCUUGCUUUCUAAGUUUAGCGGCGACGGGUGAGUAACACGUGGGCAACCUGCCUAUAAGACUGGGAUAACUUCGGGAAACCGGAGCUAAUACCGGAUAAUAUAAAAGAACACAUGGUCUUUUAUUGAAAGAUGGCUUCGGCUAUCACUUAUAGAUGGGCCCGCGGCGCAUUAGCUAGUUGGUGAGGUAAUGGCUCACCAAGGCGACGAUGCGUAGCCGACCUGAGAGGGUGAUCGGCCACACUGGGACUGAGACACGGCCCAGACUCCUACGGGAGGCAGCAGUAGGGAAUCUUCCGCAAUGGACGAAAGUCUGACGGAGCAACGCCGCGUGAACGAUGAAGGCCUUCGGGUCGUAAAGUUCUGUUGUUAGGGAAGAACAAGUAUCGUUCGAAUAGGGCGGUACCUUGACGGUACCUAACCAGAAAGCCACGGCUAACUACGUG
Molecule: ribosomal RNA, 496 nt
Filed under: uncultured bacterium
Lineage: Bacteria
Description: bacterial SSU rRNA
Rfam family: Bacterial small subunit ribosomal RNA
Source: RNAcentral